Long non-coding RNA from Lontra canadensis (Northern American river otter), 530 nucleotides. RefSeq lists it as uncharacterized. The record is from RefSeq and is a predicted model, not a curated record. The transcript is spliced from 2 exons. NCBI's taxonomy places the organism in Eukaryota, Metazoa, Chordata, Mammalia, Carnivora, Mustelidae.
GGGAGAAUGAGAUGUGUACCAAACACAUAAACCACAACACGUUUUCCAGCACACGUGGAGAGAUCCCCUGAGCCUAGCCAUAGCCAUGAAUGGGGCUGCAGGACAUUGCUCGUAUCGAGGUAAGUGAUAUGCUAGGCUGAAACCACAAAUGUUUAGUAAGUUGGUAACAUGUGCUGACACUUCUUGUUAUCAUGAUUUUGUUACAGGGAUUCAGGUAAGAAAUAAAAAUCCUUACCAAUUCUAGAGACUAUACAUUUUUACUUUUUACAUUUUAGAUAAAAUUUCUGUUUAACACCAUACAUGUUAAGAGAUCAUAGGUAUGUAGGUAUUUGUCAUGGUUUUCCCCGCCACAGUACUACCUAUAUGAUUUUUUACAGGUGUGCAGUCAGGAAAUGAUGGUUUUCUGACAUUGGUGUUGACCUGGGAGUACUAUUCCUGUCAAGAGAUCACAGUGAACCUAAUACUGGUCAUUAAUGGGGGCAGGGAUGUUGCUGGUAUGCAGGUAAGGGAGGCUGUGGGCCUAAACCACG